CGAUCAGAGGGAAAAGUCCCAUAAAUGGGUUUACAGCCCACCACCUUCAUUCAGCCACCUGACC
This 64-nucleotide transfer RNA is filed under the name Sitana ponticeriana (Pondichry fan throated lizard). RNAcentral's name for it is "tRNA-Tyr". The record is from RNAcentral. Lineage: Eukaryota; Metazoa; Chordata; Lepidosauria; Squamata; Agamidae.